ACUGCAGGCCAUUCUAUCGCUGCUUUUUCUUAAUUGGAAAGGGAGAGGAAAGUCCGGGCAACAUAGAGCAUCCCACUUCCUAACAGGAAGGUAUUGUAGCAAUACAGUAACAGAAAGUGCCACAGAAAACUAUACCGCUAUUUUGCUUGCAAAGUAGUAAGGGUGAAAAUGUGAGGUAAAAGCUCACAGCAUGGAUUGGCAACAGUUCAUGCGGGUAAACCUUGGGAGUUGAAAGACCAAAUAAGCCGAAGCUUGAGAACGGCUCGUUCAAUUUCGGUGGGUAGGUUGCUUGACCCUUUCGGUGACGAAAGGGCUAGAUAAAUGAUAGAAAAUAUUCUGAACGUGUUUCAGAAUAGGUACAGAACCCGGCUUAUUCGCCUGCUUUUUUA
RNAcentral lists this RNase P RNA (389 nucleotides) under Bacteroidia bacterium. RNAcentral describes it as "RNase P RNA component class A". It matches the Rfam family "Bacterial RNase P class A". From Rfam's summary of the family: Ribonuclease P (RNase P) is a ubiquitous endoribonuclease, found in archaea, bacteria and eukarya as well as chloroplasts and mitochondria. Its best characterised activity is the generation of mature 5'-ends of tRNAs by cleaving the 5'-leader elements of precursor-tRNAs. The record is from RNAcentral. Lineage: Bacteria; Pseudomonadati; Bacteroidota; Bacteroidia.